UGUCGCCACGGCGAUGGAUCCCGCCGGGACGCCACGCGCGCCCGAACCGCCACCCGGCUGAUGGUUCCUGUUCAUCA
RNAcentral lists this non-coding RNA (77 nucleotides) under Intrasporangium chromatireducens Q5-1. RNAcentral's name for it is "Intrasporangium sp. Q5-1 Fluoride riboswitch aptamer (crcB RNA motif)". It matches the Rfam family "Fluoride riboswitch aptamer (crcB RNA motif)". Lineage: Bacteria; Bacillati; Actinomycetota; Actinomycetes; Micrococcales; Intrasporangiaceae. The record is from Rfam by way of RNAcentral. RNAcentral also lists the same sequence under 1 other name.